This 209-nucleotide long non-coding RNA is filed under the name Setaria viridis. RNAcentral's name for it is "long non-coding RNA (SVIR_LNC008936)". The record is from RNAcentral. Lineage: Eukaryota; Viridiplantae; Streptophyta; Magnoliopsida; Poales; Poaceae.
GAUGAAGUAGCUAACCUUUACAACGCUUUGGAUGAGUAAAAUCCCCACGAAAAUACGGAGAAAAUACGAACAAAAAUCGAGCAGCACCUCCCUAAGGUUGCUUCCUUGCCAUGGAGAAGGAGUUCGAAGCUCUCGGUCUGAGUGGCUCGGAUUCGAGGAUGAAGAAGCUGAAUUUAUAGGAAUUACCAACCGGGACGGGGGGAGGGGGG